Molecule: ribosomal RNA, 253 nt
Filed under: uncultured bacterium
Lineage: Bacteria
Description: partial 16S ribosomal RNA
Rfam family: Bacterial small subunit ribosomal RNA
Source: RNAcentral
UACGUAGGCAGCAAGCGUUGUUCGGAAUUACUGGGCGUAAAGAGUGUGUAGGCGGUGCUCCAAGUCUGGUGUGAAAUCCCCCGGCUUAACUGGGAGGGUGCAUUAGAAACUGGAAUGCUAGAGGAUGGGAGAGGUAAGCGGAAUUCCUGGUGUAGCGGUGAAAUGCGUAGAUAUCAGGAGGAACACCUGUGGUGUAGACAGCUUACUGGACCAUUUCUGACGCUGAGACACGAAAGCGUGGGUAGCAAACAGG